CUUUAUUGUAAAUUCCAUACAGCCAGUUGAUUAUCACAAAUGUUUUCAUUGAUUUUUGCCACUGUCUUGGAUCUAUAGCCAACCAAUGGCUGCAAUUAAUAGUAAAAUAGUGUAGUUCUGACACAAAUGUUGAUUGCGAUUUUCAUUUACUUAAAGGAGUAAGCCAAAAGUGCCACAGGAAAUGUUGGAACAUCACUUGUCAAUGACAUUAGCAACUUCUUGCCUGAAUCAGAUUGACAGUUUUUGAAUACCAGAAGAAUAUUUCCUCAGUUUUUUUUGUGCUAUUUACAACGUUAACAGCUAUAAACAACCACUCACUUUUAAGUUUAAUUGGCAUCAUAAACAUUUUUUUUCUGCUACUUUCCCAGGUCUAGACAAUUAAAGAAAAAUGAUAAAUCAAGGCCUGAUUUGUAGUGUUUACUGAUUUCCAAUACUCCCACGACCCGAUGUUACUCCAUGUGGAGUUGGGAAGAGAUGCGUACCAUUAUAUAGUAUUUCUCCCUCACAUUAACGAUAGCUCUAAAUAACCUCAAGAGCACAGGCAAUAGUAAAAUAUAGUAAAGUCAUAGUAAAGAAGAUUGGUGUGUUUAUUACCUUUGUGUAUGUGUGUGCGUGUGUGUGUGGGGUACUGGGGAUUAAAUCCCGGGGUGCUUACCUGAGCCACAUCCCCAGCACUUAUUUAUUUUUUUAAAUUUUGAGACAGGAUCAAGUUGUUUAGAGUCUCACCAAGUCGCUGAGGCUGGCCUCAAAUUUGCAAUCCUCCUGCCUCAGCCUCCCAAAUUGCUUGGAUUAUAGGCAUGUGCCUGGCAUUACCUUUGUUUUAAUAUAAUGUGUUUAAUUGUAAGUUUAAUUUUAAUAAUGUCUGCAGUCAACAACCAGCUCACCAACAUUCCGAAAAUUUAACAAUGGGCUCAUCAUCCAGUAGGAACUGGCUCCAGUAUACCACUGCUUAUGCCCCUCUCCAAUCCAGCCCCACACCACUGCAAGCUCCAGACUACUGGUCAUCUAAUUCUAACCCUACUUAUCAAUACUGUGAGUUAUCGAACCUCAGAUAAAGAGAAUUCUACAGUACAAAUUCCUUUGUCAGUGAAAUAGUUUGCUUAGCAAAAUGUUGUGUGAUGAGCAGCUGUUUAUUUUGUUGUGGAAAAGAAUUCCAUUACAUGAAUACACCAAAGCUCUUUUGCUCAUUCACUGGUUGAUGGAUAUCUGCAUUAUUUCCAGAUUUGGCAAUUUCAAGUAAAGGUGUGGUGAACAUUUGUGUCAAGUCUUUGUGUAGCUAUAGCUUUAUUCCUCUUGGUUAAACACCCAGGAACUAAAUUGUGGGUCCUUUUAUAAGUACAUUUUUUAAGUUUAUAAGAAACUGUUAAAUGGUCUCCCAAAGUAGUUGCAUUAUUCAUUCCACAUCCCCACCAGCAGUUGAGGUGCUCUGAUUGGUUGACAUCCUCAAUGUUUUGAAUUGUCUGCCUUUUAAAAAUGUUUUUGGUUUGUUUGGUACCAGGGAUGCUUAACCACUGAGCCACAUCCCUAGCCCUUUUUAUGUUUUAUUUAGAGACAGGAUCUCACUAAGUUGCUUUGGGCCUUGCUAAGAUGCUGAAACGGGCUUUGAACUUGUGACCUUCUGCCUCAACCUCCCAAAUUGCUGGGAUUACAGGCGUGUACCACCAUGCCUGGCUUAAAAAUGUUAAUCAUUAGAGUAUGUAUCUUGUGCUUUUAAUGUGCAUUUUCCUAAUAAUUGAUGAUGCUGAGCACCUUUCAGGAACUUAUGUGCUACUUGUAUCUUUUUCAUACCAUAAAGUAUAUAAGUAGAAUAUCAUAAUGAAAAACUAGAAUAUCCUCAGAUGACCCAGGACACUGGGAAUAUGCCCAGACUUUUCUUCCUUUGUCCCAUAUUUUUUCUGAUAGGCUCAGAGUCUUAUUCCAGAAACAGCCUAGCAGAAGAGCCGCUAGCUCUUAGAUGGCAUUCUCUGGCCCCUGCCUGAGGUCAUUGACAUCCCUAUGUUUGAACAACUUAUCUGGUAGGAUCUUCCAGGAGAGAUGCUUCACAAUCAUUACCUGGAGCCCUUUCUGUCUGCCAUAGACAGAAUGCACACAUCCUUUGUUACACCUCCAGCACUCCGUGAAGGUUGUGCAGUGUGCCCAGGAUGCUGGGCUGAUGUUCUCAGAACUCAUCUGGAAGAUAUUGGAGAGAGGUAUCCCAGGAUAAGAACUAGAUAAGGCAUGGAAUAGCCAGGCAGUUUCCCUGAGCCCCAAUCUAGAGGAAGGGCUAAUAUGUCACUGAAAUAUAUCAGGAACAUGGCACCAGUUAACUCGGGUUUCUACACUCAACUUUUCUCAUAACUGGCAAAGUGUGAGUUGUUCCCAGAGUGGCGGGAAUUUACCUGGUGUCAUGAGAGCCUCCCAUUACAUCACCAGCCAGGCUGUCCCAGAGGGGACUCAACCAAAAGGCUUGAAGAAGCUUGAUAUUGCUGGGCUCAUGCCUAUAAUCCCAGCUACUCAGGAGGCUGAGGCAGAAGGAUUGCAUGUUUGAGUCCAGCUUAGGCAACUUAGUAAGAUCCUGACUCAAAUUUUUAAAAAAUUAAGGAAAGAGUCUGGAAUGUAAUUCAAUGAUAGAGCAAUCAAUUUUCUACCAUGGGCGAGGCUGGGGUUCAAUCCCUGGGAAAAAGCGGGCGGGGAGGGGUGAAGCAUGAAAAUCUUGAUAUGCUCAUUUCACUGAAUCUUUAAAUUUAGCGAUAAAGAAAAUUAGAAAAAAAGGAUCAAUUAAUGGGAGCUGACUGGAGUCAGCACAUACUUGUCCUAUUGGAAGAAGACAGAGGCUUGGAGUCUUGCUCACAAGGGUCCUGCUGAGUUGCCAUGACUUUUACCUCCAUGUUCAGGCAGGGGACUCAGGAACAAAAUGGUGUCACUAAUGGGGACCAAGAUAAGUAUGUCAGAGUUGUCAAUAUGGAGCGAACAUAUCUGAGCCUUGUGAAUAAGUAAGUGCUAUGGUUUUAAUGUUGAGGCUUAAUUCCUCCAGGUGGCAGUGUCAGGAGGUGUGAGGUCCUGGACUUACUGCCUUCAUGAACGAAGUCAUAUCUUUCUUAAGAGACUGGAUUAAGUCUCUCAAGAUGGGUUUGGGUCUUGGUGGGGACUAGAUAAGUUACCAUGAGAUUGGAUUGUUACAAAGCAAGUGUACCUGUGAUUUUUGACCUCUUUGCCACACUCCUACUUGCCACUCUAGCCUGUAUAUCCACCAUAUGAUGCCAUAUACCAUGUUCUGACACAGCAUGAGACCUUCUCCAGAUAUAGCCAUCUGAUCUUGGACUUCCUACCUUCCAGAAUGGUGUACUAGAUAAACUUUAUAACUGACCCAGUCUUAGGCAUUUUGUUAUAGCAACAGAAAAUGGUUAAAGACAGUAAAUCUGGGGCUGGAGUUGUGGCUCAAGUGGUAGAGCACUCAUAGCACAUGUGAGGCACUGAGUUUGAGCCUCAGCACCACACACAAAAAAUAAAGAUAUUGUGUCCACCUAAAACCAAAAAAUAAAAAAGAAAAGAAAAGACAGUAAAUCUUACCUGGUUGGUCCAUCCUUUUCUAUGUAAAGGCAGCAUUCUGGUUCUGUUCCAUCCUCUUCUUCUGUAUUUACUGCACAUGGGCCCCAUUUAUUCUUCUGACAUCUUUCACAGUCUACUCUGUACACCUUAUGAAUUUUCCUACCGCUCCAUUUCUCUUGUUCUAUACAUCAGUAUUUUCAAUAAUAAGCUGCAUCCCAUAAUAGUUCACUCCUACGGACUUUGUUACCUAACACAUCGUCCUGAUAAGCUUAAGACUCUCUGGAAGACUAAGUUAUUGUGUUUACAGUUCACAGCGGGAAUGUGGCAUCUUUAAAUAAUCCACACAUGAAACACAGGUCCAUUCAGUCCUAGAGCAAGACCUAUGUUUUGUGUCUCCGGGCAUGCAGCCACAGGGUUCCAACACUUUCAUUUCCACUGAUUUUGUGUUUUCAAGCCACAAUUCCUCUUUGGUGUCAGCUGACAUGCAUUGAAUUAUCUUCUGUGUUUUGCAUUGGAAGUAGUGUCCUUUAAUAGCGGCAUGAUUGGGCUCUUCUCCCUAACCUCUUACCAUGGUGAUACUCAUUCUGAACACAUAAGUCCUCUGCUCACAAAAUGCAGAUAAAGCUGUGUCUGCUCAGCAGGUCACUGGCUACCUGGGGUUACGCUGGGCAUCCUCACUCCAAAGCUCCUUGAUAAGAGCAAAUGUGCACAGGUCCAGACACCUGCUGCCUAUGUAGCUUACUUGCUCUCAGAUUUGUCCUCGUUAGCAGGGAAGACUGAUGCACUGAGUGAGUCAGGACAUGCAAAUGUUGUAUAACUCAAGAUCGUCCUUCAAACCACCUUCUAUCCUCUAUUUGAAAUGUGCUACCCUGCCCCAUCUCUUUCCCUCACUGCAAGCUCUGUUUUCCAUGGUUUUAACAAAGAAUGAUUCUAGCAUCUUAAUUCGGUCUCUGAGCCCUUCUGCUCUGUCACUUUUGGGAUAGGCUGCCUGGAAGUGAGGUGGGUGGCUGUCACUACAUCAGGUAAGUUCUGCUCCUGCAGUGGCAGGCAGAGAUGAGAAUAGAAACAUAAAAUUUUUUUUUCACGGACUGAUCCAAAGAAUGUCUUUGACAUUCAGUGCAAGCAGCACAGCCAGCUUGCAUAGGAAGGAAAGCGAGGACCUGGUCCCUGGCCAGGGGUCUGUGCAGGGCAGUUGCCCAGCCCACCGAGGACAGCCGGCCUGCCUGUGCUGAGCUGGCAUUCUGCUGGGUCCUGCCACUGCUUCACUGGAAACAAAUGAGUAAUCGAUAAGCUACAUUUUAACUACUGUAAUAGUCCUCUAAAGGAGUAAUGUGAUUUAGAAGUCGGCUUGAAAUUACUUCUAUAUUUUUACUUGAAAAGCAAAGAAUAUCAGUUUGGAGGGACACUUAGCAGCCAUGUCCAGGUACUUGUGUUCUUGAUCUGGUGUGACAUUUAGGGCCUUUGCUGUGAGUCACUUCUUGUAUUUCUUUCCAGGCCUCCACGGGGAGCAGGUGGGCUACUCAAUCCAACUCCCAAGGGUGGUAGGUCUGGUUCUUUCUCUCUACCUGAAGGCCCCUUCUCUUGUCCCCUUCUUAUGGCACAAAAGAGUUGAAUGCACACAAAAGAUUUCAUGCACUGGACAGAAAGCCCAGAGCAUGUCAGGCUAGAGACACCCCUUGGGGCGUUUGUGGCAAGAUCCUCUCCUCACUCCUCAGCUCUGCAUUGCCCCACAGCAGUACCUAACGGUGCCUGGCCUCAGCUGGGCGCAUGUGGGCAACUUCUUUGCCACACUUCAAGAGCCUGACAAGCGAAGGAAGAAGAGCGAAGCCCUGGUCCCUGGCCAGGGGUCUGUGCAGGGUCCUGGUUACUUCCUUCCAUUGCAGCUGCGCUCUGGGCAGGUGGGGAGAGGGGAGCUAGCGAGCGCCUCCCGGAUACCAGGUCACCACUACCGCUGGUGCCACUUACCUGGUUACAUGCCCAGCACUUACUUCCCCAUGCCAACCACUAGAGGAUUAAUUCUGCAAAAGAAGCAUUCGCAUAAUAGAAACCACAUGGGGUUUCCGCGGCCCCGACAGCUCAGCGGUUAACCGAAGCCGCUGCCUCGCCCAACGGUGGCUCCCGCGCGCUCCGCGCGGCGACUUUCAAGAAGGCAGGUGACGCGCUGUUUUCAACGAUCUGCUCCCCACUCUGGUAGUGGUCGCGCGAGUCUCAGCGGCUUGGUCAACACCCGCUCCCACAGCCGAAACUCCCAGUUCACCCAGUUCCCGAGUUUCGCUCCGAGCGUGCCAAACGGAUUGGGUGCUGGGCGCAGCAGUCGCAGUUCUCGGCCGCGACGGGCUCCGGGGGCCUGAUCGCACAGAAGCGUCGAAGGGGUUCCCUUUAACAUCAUAAACUUUCUGUUGCACCCUUGUUUCCAGGUUGCCUUCGAUGACAAGGACUCGUCUUGUUUUCCCUCUCC
Molecule: long non-coding RNA, 5986 nt
Filed under: Marmota monax (woodchuck)
Lineage: Eukaryota; Metazoa; Chordata; Mammalia; Rodentia; Sciuridae
Source: RNAcentral